GUGUGACAGUGUAACAACCUUUUGAACAAACCUUCCGAGGUGUGCUUUAGAGGAGGACCCCUAACCUGAGUGCGCGUUCCCUGACGGUGGGCGCGCACGCAGCUGUGGGCCCAGGGCCCUAGGGCUGAUUAAUGCUGAUAGCAACCCCAGCCCCUGCUGUAUUUUAAGGAUUUUGUCAGAAGCAGCAGAUUGCUAACAGUUAUUUGGUUAUAUGGUCAUCUUAACGAAGUCCAGCAAAAUUCCAGGUAUAGAAUAUGUUGCUA
RNAcentral lists this long non-coding RNA (263 nucleotides) under Sarcophilus harrisii (Tasmanian devil). Its description in RNAcentral is "lncRNA (ENSSHAG00000027417.1)". Lineage: Eukaryota; Metazoa; Chordata; Mammalia; Dasyuromorphia; Dasyuridae. The record is from RNAcentral.